RNAcentral lists this long non-coding RNA (394 nucleotides) under Mytilus galloprovincialis (Mediterranean mussel). Lineage: Eukaryota; Metazoa; Mollusca; Bivalvia; Mytilida; Mytilidae. The record is from RNAcentral.
UAAAAUUGAGAAUGGAAAUGGGGAAUGUGUCAAAGAGACAACAACCCGACCAAAUAAAAAACAACAGCAGAAGGUCACCAACAGGUCUUCAAUGUAGCGAGAAAUUCCCGCACCCGGAGGCGUCCUUCAACUGGCCCCUAAACAAAUAUAUACUAGUUCAGUGAUAAUGAACGCCAUACUAAUUCCAAAUUGUACACAAGAAACUAAAAUUAAAAUAAUACAAGACUAACAAAGGCCAGAGGCUCCUGACUUGGGACAGGCACAAAAAUGCGGCGGGGUUAAACAUGUUUGUGAGAUCUCAACCCUCCCCCUAUACCUCUAACCAAUGUAGAAAAGUAAACGCAUAACAAUACGCACAUUAAAAUUCAGUUCAAGAGAAGUCCGAGUCUGAUGU